GUGGUCAGGAGAAAGGCUGCUGAGUGGUUGAGCCUGGCCAGCCGGGCACAGCCUUGUAGCAGUUGGCCUUGAUCCCCGACCUAGAGUAAACCCCCAGAAGGCUUCUUUCUGGGAUUUGAACUUUGCAGUAGCAGGUGUGAGCAUUCUAGCAGCAGUUUGAUGAUCAUGUAUGAUACUGCAAACAAGU
Tachyglossus aculeatus (Australian echidna) is the source of this 187-nucleotide non-coding RNA. RefSeq annotates it as small Cajal body-specific RNA 16. The transcript has a single exon. Lineage: Eukaryota; Metazoa; Chordata; Mammalia; Monotremata; Tachyglossidae. The record is from RefSeq and is a predicted model, not a curated record.